This 1434-nucleotide ribosomal RNA is filed under the name Enterococcus durans. Its description in RNAcentral is "bacterial SSU rRNA". It matches the Rfam family "Bacterial small subunit ribosomal RNA". Lineage: Bacteria; Bacillati; Bacillota; Bacilli; Lactobacillales; Enterococcaceae. The record is from RNAcentral.
ACGCUGGCGGCGUGCCUAAUACAUGCAAGUCGUACGCUUCUUUUUCCACCGGAGCUUGCUCCACCGGAAAAAGAAGAGUGGCGAACGGGUGAGUAACACGUGGGUAACCUGCCCAUCAGAAGGGGAUAACACUUGGAAACAGGUGCUAAUACCGUAUAACAAUCGAAACCGCAUGGUUUUGAUUUGAAAGGCGCUUUCGGGUGUCGCUGAUGGAUGGACCCGCGGUGCAUUAGCUAGUUGGUGAGGUAACGGCUCACCAAGGCCACGAUGCAUAGCCGACCUGAGAGGGUGAUCGGCCACAUUGGGACUGAGACACGGCCCAAACUCCUACGGGAGGCAGCAGUAGGGAAUCUUCGGCAAUGGACGAAAGUCUGACCGAGCAACGCCGCGUGAGUGAAGAAGGUUUUCGGAUCGUAAAACUCUGUUGUUAGAGAAGAACAAGGAUGAGAGUAACUGUUCAUCCCUUGACGGUAUCUAACCAGAAAGCCACGGCUAACUACGUGCCAGCAGCCGCGGUAAUACGUAGGUGGCAAGCGUUGUCCGGAUUUAUUGGGCGUAAAGCGAGCGCAGGCGGUUUCUUAAGUCUGAUGUGAAAGCCCCCGGCUCAACCGGGGAGGGUCAUUGGAAACUGGGAGACUUGAGUGCAGAAGAGGAGAGUGGAAUUCCAUGUGUAGCGGUGAAAUGCGUAGAUAUAUGGAGGAACACCAGUGGCGAAGGCGGCUCUCUGGUCUGUAACUGACGCUGAGGCUCGAAAGCGUGGGGAGCAAACAGGAUUAGAUACCCUGGUAGUCCACGCCGUAAACGAUGAGUGCUAAGUGUUGGAGGGUUUCCGCCCUUCAGUGCUGCAGCUAACGCAUUAAGCACUCCGCCUGGGGAGUACGACCGCAAGGUUGAAACUCAAAGGAAUUGACGGGGGCCCGCACAAGCGGUGGAGCAUGUGGUUUAAUUCGAAGCAACGCGAAGAACCUUACCAGGUCUUGACAUCCUUUGACCACUCUAGAGAUAGAGCUUCCCCUUCGGGGGCAAAGUGACAGGUGGUGCAUGGUUGUCGUCAGCUCGUGUCGUGAGAUGUUGGGUUAAGUCCCGCAACGAGCGCAACCCUUAUUGUUAGUUGCCAUCAUUCAGUUGGGCACUCUAGCAAGACUGCCGGUGACAAACCGGAGGAAGGUGGGGAUGACGUCAAAUCAUCAUGCCCCUUAUGACCUGGGCUACACACGUGCUACAAUGGGAAGUACAACGAGUCGCGAAGUCGCGAGGCUAAGCUAAUCUCUUAAAGCUUCUCUCAGUUCGGAUUGUAGGCUGCAACUCGCCUACAUGAAGCCGGAAUCGCUAGUAAUCGCGGAUCAGCACGCCGCGGUGAAUACGUUCCCGGGCCUUGUACACACCGCCCGUCACACCACGAGAGUUUGUAACACCCGAAGUCGGUGAGGUAAC